CAAUUAUAAGUUGUCUUAAGACAUUCUUGUGGAGUCUAGAAUGUUUAUAUUUGAAAGUGAAUAUUCAGGGAAUAACAAAUCUGAAUGAUAUGAUUGUUCUGAUUACUGAGAUUGUUACACCCAUACAAUCACAAGAUCAGUGAUCACACACAGGUUUAUAAAUGCCAGAAAUGGUGCUCAGUUUGGGCUAGACCUUUGGAAUACUAACUGCUUUGUAAAAGGAGGAUUUGGGCCAAAUACCAAGACCAAAGCCGAACUUCUCUGUAUUCCUUUUUCAUUAAAAGAGAGAGUCUGUGUCAAUAUACCUAUCAC
This 312-nucleotide long non-coding RNA is filed under the name Bos taurus (domestic cattle). RNAcentral describes it as "long non-coding RNA NONBTAT018414". Lineage: Eukaryota; Metazoa; Chordata; Mammalia; Artiodactyla; Bovidae. The record is from RNAcentral.